This 71-nucleotide transfer RNA is filed under the name Marmota monax (woodchuck). Its description in RNAcentral is "tRNA.Ala". It matches the Rfam family "tRNA". Rfam says of the family: Transfer RNA (tRNA) molecules are approximately 80 nucleotides in length. The record is from RNAcentral. Lineage: Eukaryota; Metazoa; Chordata; Mammalia; Rodentia; Sciuridae.
GGGGUUGUGGCUCAGUGGUAGAGCACUCGCCUAGCAUGUGUGAGGCCCUGGGUUCAAGCCUCAGCACCACA